AACGAACGCUGGCAGCAUGCCUAACACAUGCAAGUCGAACGAGACCUUCGGGUCUAGUGGCGAACGGGUGCGUAACGCGUGGGAACCUGCCCUUAGGUUCGGAAUAACUCCCCGAAAGGGGUGCUAAUACCGGAUAAUGUCUUCGGACCAAAGAUUUAUCGCCUUUGGAUGGGCCCGCGUUGAAUUAGCUAGUUGGUAGGGUAAAAGCCUACCAAGGCGACGAUCCAUAGCUGGUCUGAGAGGAUGAUCAGCCACACUGGGACUGAGACACGGCCCAGACUCCUACGGGAGGCAGCAGUGGGGAAUAUUGGACAAUGGGCGAAAGCCUGAUCCAGCAAUGCCGCGUGAGUGAUGAAGGCCUUAGGGUUGUAAAGCUCUUUUACCCGGGAUGAUAAUGACAGUACCGGGAGAAUAAGCUCCGGCUAACUCCGUG
This 433-nucleotide ribosomal RNA is filed under the name uncultured bacterium. Its description in RNAcentral is "partial 16S ribosomal RNA". It matches the Rfam family "Bacterial small subunit ribosomal RNA", at positions 29 to 507 of the family's 1533-position model. The record is from RNAcentral.